Molecule: unclassified non-coding RNA, 390 nt
Filed under: uncultured Gemmatimonadaceae bacterium
Lineage: Bacteria; Pseudomonadati; Gemmatimonadota; Gemmatimonadia; Gemmatimonadales; Gemmatimonadaceae
Description: contains 16S-23S intergenic spacer region
Source: RNAcentral
UCCGGUUUGGCACCGGCAGUCCUCCCAGAGUCCCCAGCCGGUGGUUUAGACCGCUGCUGGCAACUGGAAGCGGGGGUUGCGCUCGUUGCGGGACUUAACCCAACAUCUCACGACACGAGCUGACGACAGCCAUGCAGCACCUGUGCGCGGACUCCGAAGAGGGGCCCCCGUUUCUGGGGGCUUUCCCGCGCAUGUCAAGCCCGGGUAAGGUUCUUCGCGUUGCGUCGAAUUAAACCACAUGCUCCACCGCUUGUGCGGGCCCCCGUCAAUUCCUUUGAGUUUCAGCCUUGCGGCCGUACUCCCCAGGCGGGGCACUUAAUGCGUUAGCGCCGGCACCCGGGGGGUCGCUCCCCCAGGCACCUAGUGCCCAUCGUUUACGGCGUGGACUAC